Molecule: long non-coding RNA, 255 nt
Filed under: Olea europaea (common olive)
Lineage: Eukaryota; Viridiplantae; Streptophyta; Magnoliopsida; Lamiales; Oleaceae
Description: long non-coding RNA (OEUR_LNC005390)
Source: RNAcentral
GAAUGGAUGUCGUAUUUGUCGGAUUUUUUCUUGAAUUAUAAAGGUUGAGACGUCAGUUUCUAUUUUAAUGCUAAUUAGAUGACACAGCUCAUGGUGCUACAGAGACAGACUAAACUGAACAUUUAAAAUAAUGGGAAAAAGAAUUAUUCAACUAUCAAAUUUAUAAUAUUACUUUUUGUCAAAUAUUUUAAUUUGAGAAGAUUUGCAAAAAUCAUGUCAAUAUUUACAUGUGUUUACCUGUAUUCACAAUUGUUU